UACAGAGGUCCCAAGCGUUGUUCGGAUUCAUUGGGCGUAAAGGGCGCGUAGGCGGACAGUUUAGUCAGAGGUGAAAGCCCAGGGCUCAACCUUGGAACUGCCUUUGAUACUGGCUGUCUUGAGUUCGGGAGAGGUGAGUGGAAUGCCGAGUGUAGAGGUGAAAUUCGUAGAUAUUCGGCGGAACACCAGUGGCGAAGGCGACUCACUGGCCCGAUACUGACGCUGAGGCGCGAAAGCGUGGGGAGCAAACAGG
Molecule: ribosomal RNA, 253 nt
Filed under: uncultured bacterium
Lineage: Bacteria
Description: partial 16S ribosomal RNA
Rfam family: Bacterial small subunit ribosomal RNA
Source: RNAcentral